RNAcentral lists this long non-coding RNA (199 nucleotides) under Solanum tuberosum (potato). Its description in RNAcentral is "long non-coding RNA (STUB_LNC001030)". The record is from RNAcentral. Lineage: Eukaryota; Viridiplantae; Streptophyta; Magnoliopsida; Solanales; Solanaceae.
UGGAAAAGUAGUAAAAACUUAUAUUAAGGGUUGUGACUUCAAAGACUUGAAGUCAUCUAGCAAUAACUAGACUACAUUUUCAAGCCUAGUGAAAGAAAAUGACUUGAUAUGUCUGGGAUGACUUCAUUUUAAGGUAACCCCUCAGUCUCAAAAUAUUCAUUUGACCCAUGGGCCAGCACAUCCCAGCCUCGGUCAAGCC